CUUUUCAAAAUAAACACACUAUGUAGGAGUUUGUUAGGGUGACGGAGAGGAGGUUGAGGAAAGGAAAAUAAGGGCUAGAGAAAUUAAGGAGAAGGUUAUUAAGGCUAUGGAAGAAGGUGGUUCUUCUUAUGAGAACAUAACCAGCCUCGUUGAGUACAUCAAGCAUGAAUCUUGGAUGGGUGUACAAGAAACUAAAGCUUAAUAAAUUUGUAUUUCUGAUUUUGCAUCCUAGAACUUUGUAUUUCUGUUAUUCAGUAAUAUGCUUUAUGCGAUGCUAGUGUUUUUUAACAUGGAAAAUGAUUCCCAUUGUUGUCUAGGAAAUGCAAAAACAUUCACGAGAAAUCUAUUUAAAAGAAAUAAAAAUUAAGACAAUACUUUCAACUGCCUUUUCUUGCAACUCUUCACCGCCAUUAUAAAACUUAUUCUCCUUUGCUCCUCCCCUUCUGUUAUAUAGAAAAUCCAAAGCCUAAGAGCUUAGCUAAUACCUCUCCUGUUCGAUCCUUUGGGGAGAGAGAGCACGAUCUUGGUCCAAUUCGCUUCUCUUUUGAAUCCUCAUCUUGGUUGUUGAAUUUUGAGGGAUUUUUAUUAUAUUUUUGUUGGUUUUUUGGGGCUGAUCUUGAGUUUGGUCAUUGAUGUGGCUUGGAUCUUGGUUUUGAGGUGCGGGGAGAUGGGUGUUGAUUGUUUUUGAGUGUUUUGGGAUUUGGGAAUGGUGUUUUGGAUGGAGGGUUGGGAGAUUGAGAUCGGGAUCGAGAUCUCAAUUUCUUGAUUGAAAAGCGUUAGGGUUUUGUUGCUAAAGCAUUGUGAGGCAAAUGCGGGAUGUUUCACGGGGUUUGCUCACUGGAUCUUGAAGCUCUAAAUGAGAAGUAUAGACUCAUUGAUACCACUGGAAUUUGGCGGAUAUCAGCGGUAUCUUCAUCGGGUAGUACAAUGGAGGCAUUAUCAGUAAAUUGAGAAUUCCGUGCCAUUCAUCAUGCCGAUGUGGUAGCUUUAGUUAUUGAGGCCUUGGCCUGUGUAACAGAAGUCAAAAAUGUUGUCAAGAAAGUGGACGUAUGAUCGAAAUCUACCUGGACAAAAAGGAUUGACUGAUGGAUUUAUUGCCGGGGUGGAUGAAUUCAUCCAAUUUGCAGUUAGUCAAGAUGACUCAUAUAAACAAGGAGAGGAUAUUAGGACUCUUUGUUUCAAGUGCAAAAAUACAUUAUUUCUUCACCUAGAUGAUGUAGUUUUGCAUUUAUAUCUCCGUGGGUUUAAAUUAUGUUAUUGGAAUUGGACUUGUCAUGGGGAAGAAUUGUUUCCAGUUAAUGAGGAGUUGAAUGAGGAUCGUGAAAUAAAACAAACAGAAUAGGACAGAAAUUGGAAGCUCCUCCAUCGGCCAGUGGUAAAUCUGUUAGUAUUGCUGUGCACCACCUUAGACUGGCGGAGGACGAGGUUGAGAGUCGACACCAAACGAAUGCUAUAUCUGCAUGCACAAAAAGAAGGAUGGGACACUCGAGGUUGAUAGCACCACACAAAUUGCUAUAAGUACGAGAUAACUUUCUAAAAAUAAAUGCAUUUGAAAUUAACGUGCUGCAUUGCUUUAUUUAAUUCAAAUUUUAAGUAAUUUUGAGUUUAACAUUGUUAAAUUUUAAUUUAACAUGCCAAGCUUAGUUUAAUUUGGUUCAAAUUAGAUCAUACAUUUCACACUUAUACUAUAAACAAACAUAAUAAAAUAUAUUUAUAUAUAUAUA
Molecule: long non-coding RNA, 1724 nt
Organism: Dioscorea cayenensis subsp. rotundata (Guinea yam)
Lineage: Eukaryota; Viridiplantae; Streptophyta; Magnoliopsida; Dioscoreales; Dioscoreaceae
Exons: 5
Source: RefSeq, a predicted model, not a curated record